Numida meleagris (helmeted guineafowl) is the source of this 5295-nucleotide long non-coding RNA. RefSeq lists it as uncharacterized. Lineage: Eukaryota; Metazoa; Chordata; Aves; Galliformes; Numididae. The transcript is spliced from 5 exons. The record is from RefSeq and is a predicted model, not a curated record.
CCUCUCCUGCAUGGUGCUUUUCACUGUAAGGUGGGAGCUAUCGUGAGAGUAAGGACCAGCCUCCCCCCCCACACACAACAUACCCCAAAUAAGGGGAACCAGGAUUGGCAAAAGCUUGGCAAGACUUUCAGAGCAACAUUUUGAAGAUCCUUUUUUUUUCAUGAAUCUUCCCUUAAAAAUAAUAAUAAAAAAAAGCCAACUCCCAGCAAAAUUGUUUAACUAUAGAAUUUAAACACAAUACUAGUAGAAAUGAAUAAUAUUACUUGCCUUCUUCAAAUUAUGCCAACUCUAACAUUGACAAUUGCUUAGCUAUUUGUACGAGUUAAUUUGUGCCGUGAAUCUGUGAGAAGUAAUACACCUGAUACAACUGCACUCUGAAAAACCUUCAUAUUUUAAUUGGAAAAAUCUCGAUAUUCACUGAGGAACAAUCUAACCUUGGAAAACAAUCUUUUCCCAAUUUGUCUUUAAUGCAUAAAACACUGCUCAUUUUCUGCAGCUCUGUCACCAAGGGGCACAUUAAUUUAGUUGCACAAUAAUUUAAUACAUCGAUACAUUGAUUGAAGCAGAGAGUUUUUAUUUAGCAGUUCCAAGAAAUAACACAUUUCUUGCAAAAUCUUUAAAAAGACACUUCUUGCUGCAGUUUAAGUAGGGGGAAUCGCAGAUCAUUAGGGGAAGUUGCCCUUCAAAGCCAAUUGAUCGUUCCAUACUGAGCACAGUGGGCAUUACAUCAGAACAGAGUGAAGACUGGCAGGAGGCAAUUAAUGGGGCAGAUACUGGAGUGUCUUUUCUGAUUACCCCAUACUGUACAGUGGAUUUGGCCUCGCUGAGACAGGCUGGUAGAAACAAGAACCCUAAUGAGAUAUGGCUCUGCUAAUGUCAAGAAGUGCCACUUCCUAGCAGCAGGAGCAACUUUAUUGAAACCAUCUGUUGUUUUGGAAGAUGCAUAUGCGCACACACACACAUUUCCUCCUCCCAGAGUGUUUAACCUUUCUUUUAAGGCUGACUGAAAUCGUACAGCUAAUCCCUCCUUAAUCUCAGAAUGACAGGCCCUACUGUUUUCAGCAAGUCCCAGCAGCUACUGAAAACCUGGAUGACUGGUGGUGUUUAAAUGACGUGACAGUGAUGCAUUCUGGAACAGUCACUUUGGAACAGAGUACCCAUUCAUCCACUGUCAUCACAGCUUUGCGAGGCUUGGGUACCUGCACAGAGAUGAGAAAUUUGUACUGCACUGGAUCUGCUCAGCACAGUAGUUUUUUUUCUAUGUAAAAAAGAGCUAGAAUAUGGAAAAGACAAUCUCUGGAGCCACAGCUGGAAGGAACAUCUCUCUCUCCAUCAUACUUUCAACCUGAAGAACACAGGCAGACGGAUGAUGCUGGCAUUACAAGUUUUCAAUAAAGAGUCGUGAACCAAGGCAUGCACACAUUAUACAUGUAACAGACAUGAUCGUGUGAAAGCUGGAGCUGUCAUUCCAGCAACACGUCAGCGUGAGCUGUGGACUGGUUCUUGGCAACUGUGUACAACAGAAAGAGCUGCAGUUCCAAGAGAAGAGGAACAAACAGUAUCACGAGAAGGAAAAAAGAGAUCACCUGGUGUGUCAGAGGAGGGUUUGCAAAGAAAAGGCAUUGAAAAAUGGAACAACUGAGCAGGAGUGCCUGCAGAGAUGGGAGGAUUUUUUUCCUACAGCAGUGAUCUCACUCCAGUCUCUCUUCCACCAACUAAGCCCACAGAGCUCUCUGCACACAUGGAUGUUAGUGUUAAAUCUGUCAGCACAGCAACCCAAACAUCCUCCCUUUCAGGAAGAUGCUCUUGCCCACAGGCCUUGGCUGCUGCAUGCCAAUGAUUUUAGUUCACUCAGACAGAAGAGGCUGCUGCAGAUCCCCAGAGAACCAUGUUAUCUAUGCAGUACCAUCCUGGACAGAAGGAGCUCCCAAGCUGCUGUCAGCCACCUGCCUCUUACUGGCAUCCCAUCGGCUGCAGGAGUUGGAGGUGACACUCCAGAGAAUAUCUGUAUUUUGCCUUGCCUCUGAAGAGCCUGAAGAAUCUUUUCCCUUCACUGGGCUUACUUUUUGGUGGCACUAGAUUGAUCUACUCAACAGUUCCUGUAUUAAUGUCCCACCAUGCUUUCAGAGAUGGUGACUGUGCCGACACACAUCCUCCAGACAUUCUCAUCAGCUUUGCUUGCAGAUCUCUGUGCUCAGUAACCAGGGCCAGCACUGACUGCUGGCAAAUGACCUUAUCUGAACCUCUUCAAAAGAUCAUUAUCUCCAAGUGCCUCUUGGCACUGCUUCCUGCAGGACACUGGCUCUGUCAUUAGGUUUUGCAGCAGCUCCUUAGCCAACAGCCAUAAUUCUGCUCUGUUUGGGAUGGCACUGUCCACAUUGACUGGGAUUUACUGCUUCUGUUCAGACAGAACAAAACGUUUCCUCACAACAGGUUGAAAUAUCAAACGCCAGUGGGGUGACCUGCGUAUUUGGCUUUCAGCAGCUCUCAGAGCACUGACCUGGAUGCAACAAGCCACGUAAAGACCACAAAUCAGAACCUGUAGCAACAAGCAAGACAUGUAUUUGAACAAAUUGAAACAAGCGAAAACCUAACAACCAAACACACGAAAACCUACACUUCCCUGCCAGCCCACUUCACAACAGGGCGGGCUGACAGGCUCAAAAUGGCACCAACUUCCCAAGAGGAACUUGUGGUCCUGUUAAAAUUCAAACAGAAAUAUGUUGGUUUUGGUAGACUGCAUUCUAAGAGAUACCAUGAGUUACAUUUGAGGGUAGAUGCUGUCUUUUGUAAUAUUUUUAAGGAAGCUUACAUACCCAUAUACACACCACUGGAUUCCAAAGUAUAGCUUGACGUAUAUAUGUUAUAUGUAUAUAAUACAUGUAUGUAUUUCCCUUCAGAAACUUUGCCUGGCUAAUAUACCUGGUCUCUGCUCAUCACAACAAUUCUACUAUUUGAUAGUCUCCACUUUUAUUCAGUAUUUUGUAUCAUUAAUGCAAUUCUUCACUUUUAAUCUUUGAGAUUUUAAGAAAAAAUACAAUAAACAAAACACACAUAACAUUUGCUGCUUUGCAUUACCCCAGAAUGGAAGCAGAGCAAAGGAAGCCCAAGUCCUGCAUCUUCUGAGGUUAGCAUUGCCCUCUCACUCUGCUCCAAGCCAGAUCUUCAGCUUUUACCACCAUCCUGUUGAUUCUGAGGCUAUUUCAUAUCUGCAGCUGUGCAAUACAGCAUCACUAGAGAGCCAUAACAGAGCUCUGCUGUUUUACACUGCUGGAGCAUCCCAUCCUAAAGACAGAGCUCAGAAACACUCCAGCAGGUAAUGAACACAGUCCCAUUUCUAACCAGCAAUAUUCGUUUCAAAGCCAGGAUCUUUGAAACUCCCUGUGCUGCCACGCAUUACCUGCCAAACCCCACACUUGCAGACUGGAACAACACCAGAAGAGCUUAUUAGAGCUAGUCGGUAAAUAACAUGGGAUGAAAACAAAUUUGGUAGUAAAAGGACCCUUGAGAAAUUAGGGAGAAAGCUCUAUAGCCUUUCAACUUAUUCGUGAUUUACUAGAAAGCUGUAUAAUAUAGCGAGCUUGAGAACUAGCUAACAUGCUUCUAAGGCCAAAAUAUCCCAAUUUGAAUAGCUAAGUUGUAUACUGAAAGCCUGAGGAACUGUUUAAAGUAAGCUAAGAAGAAAGCCAACAUUCUCCCUUCCCCCCCAGCUCCAAAACUUCAAUUGAAAAAAGCAACAAAAAUGCUAAUCUUCUGUGGUUAAGCAGAAAGGCUUAAAAAGUGUCUAACAAACACUAUGAAUUAUUCAGGGACAAGGUUACUGCUAUUCUACACACAUCGCUUCAUAAUGCGAGUUCCAAGCCACAGAAGAAAAAUCAUUUCUGUGAAUGCUACUGUGAUAAAAUAAAUUCAGAUGAACUCCUUUAAUUGCAGCAACAUAAUAUAUCCUUUCUGCAUCUGUAAAGAUCUGUAACUUUAAAUUUGGAGGGCCCGAUCCCAAUCUAAAUUAAACAGGUUUUAUAUACAACAAAACUCAAGCAGGACAAGUAUUCCUUUACUACAUCUAGUUGAAGUCAGAAACAGCCCCAUUUUUUUUCAAACUAAUAUUGGCCAACCAUCUGGGAGUGCUUCAGAAUCAUGAGCUAACUUAAAGCUUCCAUGGUUGCAAUCAUCACCACCUUCCACAAAUUCGGAAGAAACCUUGUCUCCUUGCAGGCUGAAAUUUACCCCAAUUGCUUUCUGUACUGCUGCUGAAGAUGGUCAGGUUGGAGUAAACUUGCUCAGUGCCUGGCCGUGCUAUCGAAGUGCUCCAAUAGCAGAAUAUCAAUGGACAGGCCAGCCAGUGGCCCUGCUAAACCGGGGAUCUAGACAAGCAAUAGCUCUGGGGGCUGCAAGGCAGGCAGAGCAGGCUGGGUGCAGUGCCUGGACAGGAGAUUCCAGCAGCACCACAAGCAGCAUGUGAUGCACUUGUCACAGCCACCACAGGUCAUCAGAGUCCUGGGAAAGCUUGAAAAUGUAUAUCACAUGCGUAUACAUGACACAUAUCUUUAGUAAGAAAAGGGAAAGAGGAACAAGCAGGCUUGUGGCCGUCCAGAGAGCCCAUUUCAGAGCUGAGUAACCAGAACCACUGCCCACAUCAGAGACCACAGAAGGGAAGCUGUGAGUUAAGCUCGCUGUGCAUAGCUGGAACAAGGAAAGGCGCAUGCAGCCUCCACAAGCCUACCAGUGACCCAGCUUCCCGCCUGGACUCUUGCUGAGAGAUGCUCACAUGCCUUUGGCUCCCCUAUAUCUUAUUUUGUCACUCACCUGGAGGUCCCGUUCUGCUCUUCUCAGAAGGCUUUGGACUGUGCACUGCUCCACAGAGCUCCCUGAAGAAGCAUGCACAGCCACGUUUGGGGAACCAGUAUCAGGGACUCAUUAAGAGCAAUGUUGUUAACUGCACAGCUGUGUGCAGUGAUUUGUUUUCUGUCAGUGCGUUUUGGGAGGGGCUGGAAAGUAGGAAAACAGAGAGAAGCUCGGUUACAAAAAUCCAAAGGUAAAGCUCCCAAUUAAACACAUAGCAGUCAAGUUAAAAUUAUAGGUGACAAUUACUGUAACUUGAUUAGGCACAAUAGCAAAUUCGCUUCCCUAAAUCACUUUCACAACUCUCCUAGGAGGUCUGAAAGAUGUAGUAUAUGAGGUUCAUUUAAUUUCUAAUGUAGUAAUUAUCACUACUGAAUAAAAAAAAAAAAUAGCAGUGACAGACCCAGGAAAUAAAUUUAGCACUUGAGGUUUUAAUAAAAUUUUUAUGUGCAA